ACACACACACACAUAUAUAUAUAUACACACACACAUAUAUACACACACACACACAUAUAUAUAUAUGGCAUAAUUUAUAGAAGAAGUAAUUGUUACUUAAAAUAAUAACAAUUAUAGGUUUUUGUUACAUAUAAAAUAAAAUUUUAUGCAAAGUAUUUAUAUAUUUAUAAAAAAAAUGCAUUAAUAGUACUUUCACAUACUUUCAGUGUUGCUGUGUUUAAUCUUUGUUUAUUUCUUGAGAAGUGUGUGACUUUGUGGAUGUUGUGACAUUGAGGUGAACUGUGAUAAGUUUGCAGGGCGGUUGGAUGUUUACGGUAACACUUAUUGAGCGGGCAGCGUGUGUGUGAGUGAGUGUGUGUGAGUGAGUGUGUGUGAGAGUGUGUGUGUGUGUGUGAGUGAGUGUGUGUGAGAGAGUGUGUGUGUGGCACUGUGCCAUGAGGAGCCUGGCACAGCAGUGGCAGAAGCAUCAUGAAAAAUCCCACACAGAUGGAUGAACCUGUGUUUGUGUGUGUGUGUGUGUGUGUGUGUGUGUGUGUGUGUGUGACGCCAAGGUCAGUGUGCUAUUGUUGUUUACCUGGAUGGCGGGUGGUUGGUACAUGCAGUUCUCUGGCUGAAUGUUUGUUUUAUUCAGAUGAAGGGCAGAAGGUCUCAGAAAUGCCUUCUUUGGCCCUGUUUUCCAGUAUUUUUACACAAAACAUAUGUUCCUUUAUACUUUCGAAAUGCAUUUUAUUACUGUUGAGUAUAAUCAGUGAUAACCACUAUCAGUCGUGUGUUUAUGUGUGUCUGUGGUAGUGUGUGUGUGUGUGUGUGUUUAGGUUGACAUGGAUACGAGCCAGUAAAAAUAAUGUAAGCUGAUCCUCCGUGUGAGAGAGAUCUGCCUGAGGCCAGAUCACAUUUACGCUGUAAAGAUCAUGUGUCUGGAGGAGCCGGUGAACAGCCGCUGUGUCUGCGUUCAUCAGGAGGCCGCGCCGACGGUGUCAGGACCAAUCAGACGAUCGCAGGUCUCCCCCCAGACUCGGCCGCGUCUCCGCGUCAGCACAAAAACACAAGAGGUUUGCUGGAGAGGCACUGAAGAGCAGUCAGCAGAAAAACACGGGCCGGCGGCCAAGCAGACGGACGAAGGGGUCAGAGAGGGCCAAAGAGCCAGCGCUUCACUGAGACUCACACAGAGGAGCGUCUGUGCACAGAAACACACACACGGAGCAAUUAACAGCCCGAUAAUGAUGAGUAAUGGCCAUCUCGCCGGCUAUUUCUGUGCAAAACAGCCCACUUUCAACCUCACCCAUCUCCUUUUUAGUCAAUAAAAGGCAUUUAUAAGCAACCCUUUCGCUUGGCCUUUGGGUGCCUUGGAUUCGGAGGAGCUUACGAAGCUCGUGGUAGAGAUCCGAAGCGCGCAAGAUGGUACAAACUUCUUUUGAAUUAAGGCAUACAUGCCAGAUGCUAAAAAACGUGUCCCGCUGCACGCUUAUUGCUCCAUGCACGCACUCGAUAGACGGAAGUUAUUACGGAAGCCGCCGCAGGAUUAAAAAAAAACAAAACGAAUGCAACUUUUUCCACGCGAUUCACAAUUUUCCGCCACAUAAACCCGUCAUAACUGAUAAUCAGUUUAUUUCCUACCGUCCUGAGAGAUAAGGUAGAAAUUAGCUUGUUUUGCACAACCCUGUUUUUAUCUUGCAGUCGAAGUAGGAGUUGUGUAAUUCGCUCACAAUCGCGAGAAGUGCAGAAUCUUUGAGAUGCGAGCUUAAACCGUUUUCGGUGGAGUCGGCCUUUCGUGCAUCUCUCACCGUUCAGGCCUCGUUUAGAAAAUACUGCGCAGAAACCGUCCUAAAUCUUGAUCGUCUCUCAAACACGCUUACGUGCGAUGCAUAGCAUGCGUCCAUGAAGCGCAAAUAAUAUAAGCCCGUCUUUCAGAGGCCAAAUCUGUGAAUCACAAACGAUCUUGAACGUGCGCGCAGCUGUCGUCAUCGAUAGGCCGUUAUCUGAUUUACGACAGAGCGCUGCAGAAACGGCUCACGCUCCCGAAAACCUGCAGAAAAAGUAAUACUCUUGCGUUUUCCCCCCAAUUUCGCCACACGUGUCAGGACGGACAACUUAGUCUCGCACGUGCCUUGCAAAAACCCAGCACUCGAGUUAAAAAAAGUGAAAAGUGUUAGACUACGAAUGUUUAGUUCCUCUGCACUGCGUCUCACACCUUUGCUUGUUUCUCCAUCACUUUAUCUAUAUCUUUUCACGCGUCUUUUGGAAUUUCGCUUACGGCAACGAACUCGGCUAAAAGCAGUUUUUUCCCUAUUUAUUCGCGCCACACCUUCUGUGGGAACACGUCUCCCAAUCUGUCUCUCUAAGUGCAGCGGGAAGAGUAAUUGUUCGUCCCGAGAUCUGUUUUUGACAGCCGAUCAUUCCAGUCCGAGGAAUCACCCGCUCGUUCCGGUAAGUGUCACCAGAAGGUGAUUUAUGGACUUCAGAAAGCAUCGGUCUGAAGUGUUAAUGUCUCGAACCGCGGCAAAGCAAAGGCAAACAGGCCACGUGACGUGUGAAUAAUAGGGCGUAGUUAUUUGUUUAAUGAGGAUUGCGUUAGUUAUCGUAGUGCUGAAGGCAAGAACGUCUUAUUAUGAAACUGGAUUUGUGUAGCUCUACACGUUUGUGUGCUUUCAGGAGACCCCACGACCUUCACGCUGGACCUUCACAGCUUCAUCUAGACGGCCGGAUAAUGAGCGGCGACGAAGAGCUGAUAACAUGAAGAUGAAGCUCCUCAAAGCCCGAUGUGUGUCUACAUUAGCAGCUCGGUCUCCUGGAAAGACAGACCAGACGGACAAACAGGAAGCAGCUGUUGCCAGGGAAACAGGCUGCGGAGCGUGGGAGAGAUUGUGAGGUCUUCCAGGAGCACCUGCACGCGGCUGAGUCAACACAGUGCCUCAUUACAGCCGGGUUUAAUGGUCUCCUGUCCACAUCUGCCUGGCUUUUUGGAUCCGCCCUCGACGAGGCAGUAAAUCUCGAGCGAAUCCGGGGUGAAAACGCACCUGUAGCGCCGCCCCGCCCCCGUGAGCUCACGUCUGGAGUCGUGGGUUCGUAAAUCCACCUGCCCUGCCUGCUGUUUUCCUCGCGUUCGGCAAAUCCCGGCCUGUUUUUCCUGCGUUUCCUGCGCCAGCUCUCGCCCGUCUGUCAGUCAGAGCUGGCACUGGUCGCACAUAACCCACAUUCCUGCCUUAAAGACGCAGUACGCCCACAGAACCAUCACGCAGCAUCAUUCGAGCGUGAGAAAUCAUCACGUCGGGCUGACAUCACGCACGACGGUGUACAUCCAUAAAGAAACAUGACAUCUGAGGUUUAUGCAUAUGCAAACGUAUCAUGGCAUCACAUGCGCAGAUGUAGUUGGCUGCUGUGCGAGAUGCGCGCUCCUUUAAAGGGCUUUCGGCCUCCCAUAUCCAGCCUGUGUUUAAAACCGAGUCUGUUCUGACGUCAGACGUGGGCGUGUGACCCUAAAUUAGACUCUGAAAAAACGUCACUUCAUCAGCAUCCAGAAUCUGCGGUGAGCUCCUCUGAAUCCGAAAGCAUUGUGUGCUUCGAUUGUUUAAAAUACUUCAGCGCUCCAGGCACGAAUGAUUCCUCGAAUCAUGUAGAUUUUUAAGUUUGAAGAUUUUCCCUAUAGACUAUUCACAAAGAAAUGUAUACACAUUAGGUAUUUCAAAAUAACUAUUUUUUUUAUUAUAAAAUUUAUUUAUUAAACAUUUUUAAGAAAGCAUUCAUUAAUGUUUUGAAAUU
Molecule: long non-coding RNA, 3759 nt
Organism: Puntigrus tetrazona (Sumatra barb)
Lineage: Eukaryota; Metazoa; Chordata; Actinopteri; Cypriniformes; Cyprinidae
Exons: 4
Source: RefSeq, a predicted model, not a curated record